GCGGGGGGGGGGCGGGGGAGGUGGCUUACGCUACCCGACUUGAAGACUUAGUCUGAGCCCCUGUAGACCGUGGAAUGUGCCAGUGGCAUCGGGAGACACACACACUCAGACAGACGGUCGCAGCUGAGAGACUGGAAACGGACCCACAGCUGGCCUGGAAGACGAGGAAAACAGCAAGGCACAGACAGGGAGAGAGGGUUCACAAAACCCAUCUGGCAAAAGAAGCAAGCAAGGGAGAAAGCGUACAAGCCCCAACCCGCCCUCAGAGAGAUGGACAUUAAAGUCACAUUGACACAGCAGCCUCUCAACAGCACGGCAAAACCAGGCGAGGAAACCCCCACUCCUGGCAAAGACGUGGCACGGCCAGUACUCUCGAUCUUGCGCCGACACCAACCCCCUACUCAGAGACCCUUAGA
Suricata suricatta (meerkat) is the source of this 416-nucleotide long non-coding RNA. RefSeq lists it as uncharacterized. Lineage: Eukaryota; Metazoa; Chordata; Mammalia; Carnivora; Herpestidae. The record is from RefSeq and is a predicted model, not a curated record. The transcript is spliced from 4 exons.